UACGGAGGAUCCAAGCGUUAUCCGGAUUUAUUGGGUUUAAAGGGUGCGUAGGCGGUAGCUUAAGUCAGUGGUGAAAGUUUGCAGCUCAACUGUAAAAUUGCCAUUGAAACUGGGUUACUUGAGUAUGGUAGAGGUAAGCGGAAUGCGUUGUGUAGCGGUGAAAUGCUUAGAUAUAACGCAGAACCCCAAUUGCGAAGGCAGCUUGCUGGACCAAAACUGACGCUGAGGCACGAAAGCGUGGGGAUCAAACAGG
RNAcentral lists this ribosomal RNA (253 nucleotides) under uncultured bacterium. RNAcentral's name for it is "partial 16S ribosomal RNA". It matches the Rfam family "Bacterial small subunit ribosomal RNA", at positions 524 to 776 of the family's 1533-position model. The record is from RNAcentral.